CCUACGGGUGGCAGCAGUGAGGAAUAUUGGUCAAUGGUCGGAAGACUGAACCAGCCAAGCCGCGUGAAGGACGAAGGUGCCAAGCAUUGUAAACUUCUUUUUUCAGGGAACAAACUCAGGCUCGAGAUCCUGGCCGAGGGUACUUGAAGAAAAAGCAUCGGCUAACUCCGUGCCAGCAGCCGCGGUAAUCCGGAGGCUGCGAGCGUUAUCCGGAUUUAUUGGGUUUAAAGUGUGCGCAGGCGGGCUGUUAAGUCAGCGGUCAAAGCCCGGGGCUCAACCCCGGCGAGCCGUUGAAACUGGCUGUCAUGAGAUGGAGAGAGGUAGGCGGAAUGCGCGGUGUAGCGGUGAAAUGCUUAGAUAUCGCGCAGAACUCCGAUUGCGAAGGCAGCAUACCGGCGGCGAUCUGACGCUGAGGUACGAAAGCGUGGGUAUCGAACAGGAUUAGAUACCCCUGUAGUC
Molecule: ribosomal RNA, 459 nt
Filed under: uncultured bacterium
Lineage: Bacteria
Description: partial 16S ribosomal RNA
Rfam family: Bacterial small subunit ribosomal RNA
Source: RNAcentral